GACGAACGCUGGCGGCGUGCCUAAUACAUGCAAGUCGAGCGGACCGAAGGGAGCUUGCUCCUUUAGGUUAGCGGCGGACGGGUGAGUAACACGUGGGCAACCUGCCCUGCAGACUGGGAUAACUUCGGGAAACCGGAGCUAAUACCGGAUAACACCGAAAACCGCAUGGUUUUCGGUUGAAAGGCGGCUUUUAGCUGUCACUGCAGGAUGGGCCCGCGGCGCAUUAGCUAGUUGGUGCGGUAACGGCUCACCAAGGCGACGAUGCGUAGCCGACCUGGGAGGGUGACCGGCCACACUGGGACUGAGACACGGCCCAGACUCCUACGGGAGGCAGCAGUAGGGAAUCUUCCGCAAUGGACGAAAGUCUGACGGAGCAACGCCGCGUGAGCGAAGAAGGUCUUCGGAUCGUAAAGCUCUGUUGUCAGGGAAGAACAAGUACCGUUCGAACAGGGCGGUACCUUGACGGUACCUGACGAGGAAGCCACGGCUAACUACGUGCCAGCAGCCGCGGUAA
This 514-nucleotide ribosomal RNA is filed under the name uncultured bacterium. RNAcentral's name for it is "partial 16S ribosomal RNA". It matches the Rfam family "Bacterial small subunit ribosomal RNA", at positions 28 to 523 of the family's 1533-position model. The record is from RNAcentral.